GGGGUUGGUAGCUCAGUGGUAGAGCACUCUCCUAGCAUGUGUGAGGUACUGACUGGGUUCGAUCCUCAGCACCCCA
Molecule: transfer RNA, 76 nt
Filed under: Marmota monax (woodchuck)
Lineage: Eukaryota; Metazoa; Chordata; Mammalia; Rodentia; Sciuridae
Description: tRNA.Ala
Source: RNAcentral